GGGUUAGUAGGCUGGUCGUGCCACAGGUAUGUACUGGUCUCACUGAUUCCUCCUUCCUGAUGAACCGUAAUGCCAUUAAUUUGGUGUUGCGGGGAGACUGGACUGUUACUUUGAAAAAAUUAGAGUGUUUAAAGCAGGCUAACGCUUGAAUACAUUAGCAUGGAAUAAUGAAAUAGGACGUUCGGUCUUAUUUUGUUGGUUUCUAAGAUUGACGUA
RNAcentral lists this ribosomal RNA (216 nucleotides) under Glomus sp. Its description in RNAcentral is "partial small subunit ribosomal RNA". The stretch from base 40 to 216 matches the Rfam family "Eukaryotic small subunit ribosomal RNA", at positions 686 to 864 of the family's 1831-position model. The record is from RNAcentral. Lineage: Eukaryota; Fungi; Glomeromycota; Glomeromycetes; Glomerales; Glomeraceae.